Molecule: ribosomal RNA, 445 nt
Filed under: uncultured bacterium
Lineage: Bacteria
Description: partial 16S ribosomal RNA
Rfam family: Bacterial small subunit ribosomal RNA
Source: RNAcentral
GUGAGGAAUAUUGGUCAAUGGACGAGAGUCUGAACCAGCCAAGUCGCGUGAAGGAAGACGGUUCUAUGAAUUGUAAACUUCUUUUGUGCAGGAAUAAAGUGGGUUACGUGUAACCUUUUGUAUGUACUGUACGAAUAAGGAUCGGCUAACUCCGUGCCAGCAGCCGCGGUAAUACGGAGGAUCCGAGCGUUAUCCGGAUUUAUUGGGUUUAAAGGGUGCGUAGGUGGAUUGAUAAGUCAGCGGUGAAAGUUUGCAGCUUAACUGUAAAAUUGCCGUUGAAACUGUCGGUCUUGAGUGCAAAUGAGGUAGGCGGAAUGUGUUGUGUAGCGGUGAAAUGCUUAGAUAUAACACAGAACACCGAUUGCGAAGGCAGCUUACUGGGAUGCAACUGACACUGAUGCACGAAAGCGUGGGUAUCAAACAGGAUUAGAUACCCCGGUAGUCC